UACGAAGGGUGCAAGCGUUACUCGGAAUUACUGGGCGUAAAGCGUGCGUAGGUGGUUCGUUAAGUCUGUCGUGAAAGCCCCGGGCUCAACCUGGGAAUGGCGAUGGAUACUGGCGGGCUAGAGUGCGGUAGAGGAGAGUGGAAUUCCCGGUGUAGCAGUGAAAUGCGUAGAGAUCGGGAGGAACAUCAGUUGCGAAGGCGGCUCUCUGGACCAGCACUGACACUGAGGCACGAAAGCGUGGGGAGCAAAC
RNAcentral lists this ribosomal RNA (250 nucleotides) under uncultured bacterium. RNAcentral describes it as "partial 16S ribosomal RNA". It matches the Rfam family "Bacterial small subunit ribosomal RNA", at positions 524 to 773 of the family's 1533-position model. The record is from RNAcentral.